Paramuricea clavata is the source of this 1179-nucleotide non-coding RNA. NCBI's taxonomy places the organism in Eukaryota, Metazoa, Cnidaria, Anthozoa, Malacalcyonacea, Plexauridae. The record is from the annotation of a GenBank genome assembly.
CUUUGGAAUACUAUUAUGUCCAUUAGUUCCAGAAAUUUCGUGUUAAUUUAAUAUGUUUGAUAUUUUUAAAGUUAUCUUGCUAACGCUGAGACACAUACACAAUGACACACACAUACUGAUUUGCUGAUGAGCAGAAUUUUAGUCGCACAAAUUAUGGGAAACCUUCAAAUUUAUAGCUCCUAAAAGAUUUUGGAAUCAAUUGAUUAUGCAAUUGAAAUGUUCAUUUAAAAUUCGGUUUUUAUUAAGGGCUGCAUUUAGAUCAAUCUCAGUCUUAUUUACUCAGAACUAUUAACUAUAAUUGUGUAUUCCCUAUACAUCAUUCAGUCUAUAUUAUUAAUUAAUGAACUGAAACUACUCCGUGCGUCUGUCCUCUAAUAAUAGAUCAUGGCUCUCGACCAAUGAAAGCGCUUGAAUUCUUAACGUUAUUAUAUCAAAAUUAUUUUAGACUGAAUCAGAGACUGAAUAAUAUGGCUUUAACUUCUAGGCAUUUAAUGUGUUUCUCAGAUUCUCCAUGGUCCCAUGAGCCACCUGUAGGUAUACUACCAAGGGAACAACCCCAACUCUCUUUGAGGAGUCAUGCAUGUGUUCAUGGUUUUGUGAUUAUUUUUAAAGUUAUCUUGCUAACACUGAGACGUAUACACAUUGACACACACAUACAUACGCUGAUGAAAACAUGACCUGCAUAACUAGAUUUGCUGACGAGCAGAAUUUUAGUCAGACAAAUUAUGGAAAGUCUUUAAAUUUAGCUCCUCAAAAUUUCUGAAUCAUUAAUUCGGUUUAAAUUAAGGGCUUUUAGAUCAAUCUUAGUCUUAAUAUAUGUUUACUCAGAUAUAACUAUAAUUAUUCAUUCCCUUUACUGAUACAUCAUUCCGUUAUUUAUUCCCUUUACUGAUACAUCAACUUUGGCCACUGCGCACAGAUUAACAAUUAUACAUGUAUAAUAGUUUAUCAUACUUAGAAUUUUGUUACACUGAUGUACAAUGCCGUGCAAAUAAAAUUCUUCUUCGCCUCUAUAACUCUAAUUGAUUGUUAAGUAGGCCUAAUAUCUGUUAAAAAUAAUUUCUUAUAGGUGAUCCGUUACGACCUGGAUUUCAUAUGAAUGAGAUUAAUGAAUCAUGUAAUAUAUAGUAUACCAUAUACUGCACUUAUAUAAUUUUGAUAUGCUGAUAUAAAAUUGCU